This 275-nucleotide ribosomal RNA is filed under the name uncultured bacterium. RNAcentral's name for it is "partial 16S ribosomal RNA". It matches the Rfam family "Bacterial small subunit ribosomal RNA", at positions 523 to 796 of the family's 1533-position model. The record is from RNAcentral.
CAACGUAGGGGGCGAGCGUUACCCGGAUUCACUGGGUUUAAUGGGCAUGUAGGCGGCUUUAUGGGUUAAGGGUGAAAUCCAACAGCUCAACUGUUUGGACUGCCCUUAAAACUAUUAAGCUAGAGUAUGGAGGAGGAAGGUAGAAUUCACGGUGUAGCGGUGGAAUGCGUAGAUAUCGUGAGGAAUAUCGGUGGCGAAGGCGACCUUCUAUUCCAAUACUGACGCUGAGGUGCGAAAGCUAGGGGAGCGAACAGGAUUAGAUACCCCAGUAGUCC